This 377-nucleotide ribosomal RNA is filed under the name uncultured organism. RNAcentral's name for it is "partial 16S ribosomal RNA". It matches the Rfam family "Bacterial small subunit ribosomal RNA", at positions 527 to 897 of the family's 1533-position model. The record is from RNAcentral.
GGAGGGUGCAAGCGUUAAUCGGAAUUACGUGGGACGUAAAGCGCGCGUAGGUCGGUUUAGUCAGUCGGAUGUGAAACGCCCGAGGGCUCAACCUUGGAAUUGCAUUCGAUACUGCUUGACUAGAGUAUGGUAGAGGGAAGUGGAAUUUCCGGUGUAGCGGUGAAAUGCGUAGAUAUCGGAAGGAACACCAGUGGCGAAGGCGACUUCCUGGGCCAAUACUGACGCUGAGGUGCGAAAAGCGUGGGGAGCAAACAGGGAUUAGAUACCCUGGUAGUCCACGCCGUAAACGAUGAGAACUAGAUGUUGGGAGGGUUACCUCUCGGUGUCGCAGCUAACGCAUUAAGUUCUCCGCCUGGGGAGUACGCCGGCAACGGUAA